CCUACGGGGGGCUGCAGUGGGAAAUAUUGGACAAUGGGCGAAAGCCUGAUCCAGCCAUGCCGCGUGUGUGAAGAAGGCCUUCGGGUUGUAAAGCACUUUCAGUGGGGAAGAAAGCCUUGGGGCUAAUACCCUCGAGGAAGGACAUCACCCACAGAAGAAGCACCGGCUAACUCCGUGCCAGCAGCCGCGGUAAUACGGAGGGUGCGAGCGUUAAUCGGAAUUACUGGGCGUAAAGCGCGCGUAGGCGGUCUGAUAAGCCGGUUGUGAAAGCCCCGGGCUCAACCUGGGAACGGCAUCCGGAACUGUCAGGCUAGAGUGCAGGAGAGGAAGGUAGAAUUCCCGGUGUAGCAGUGAAAUGCGUAGAGAUCGGGAGGAAUACCAGUGGCGAAGGCGGCCUUCUGGACUGACACUGACGCUGAGGUGCGAAAGCGUGGGUAGCAAACAGGAUUAGAUACCCGUGUAGUC
RNAcentral lists this ribosomal RNA (465 nucleotides) under Vreelandella stevensii. RNAcentral's name for it is "partial 16S ribosomal RNA". It matches the Rfam family "Bacterial small subunit ribosomal RNA", at positions 338 to 795 of the family's 1533-position model. The record is from RNAcentral. Lineage: Bacteria; Pseudomonadati; Pseudomonadota; Gammaproteobacteria; Oceanospirillales; Halomonadaceae.